UACGUAGGGUGCAAGCGUUAAUCGGAAUUACUGGGCGUAAAGCGUGCGCAGGCGGUUUUGUAAGACUGUCGUGAAAUCCCCGGGCUCAACCUGGGAAUGGCGAUGGUGACUGCAAGGCUAGAGUUUGGCAGAGGGGGGUAGAAUUCCACGUGUAGCAGUGAAAUGCGUAGAUAUGUGGAGGAACACCGAUGGCGAAGGCAGCCCCCUGGGUCAAGACUGACGCUCAUGCACGAAAGCGUGGGGAGCAAACAGG
This 253-nucleotide ribosomal RNA is filed under the name uncultured bacterium. RNAcentral describes it as "partial 16S ribosomal RNA". It matches the Rfam family "Bacterial small subunit ribosomal RNA", at positions 524 to 776 of the family's 1533-position model. The record is from RNAcentral.